AUCGAACGCUGGCGGCAGGCCUAACACAUGCAAGUCGAACGAGUGGCGGACGGGUGAGUAAUGUCUGGGAAACUGCCUGAUGGAGGGGGAUAACUACUGGAAACGGUAGCUAAUACCGCAUACCAUCGGAUGUGCCCAGAUGGGAUUAGCUAGUGGGUGGGGUAAAGGCUCACCUAGGCGACGAUCCCUAGCUGGUCUGAGAGGCUGACCGGCCACACUGGAACUGAGACACGGCCCAGACUCCUACGGGAGGCAGCAGUGGGGAAUAUUGGACAAUGGGCGAAAGCCUGAGGGAGCCAUGCCGCGUGUAUGAAGAAGGCCUUCGGGUUGUAAAGUACGUUCAGCGGGGAGGCGUUACCCGCAGAGGAAGCACCGGCUAACUCCGUGCCAGCAGCCGCGGUAAUAC
Molecule: ribosomal RNA, 406 nt
Filed under: uncultured bacterium
Lineage: Bacteria
Description: partial 16S ribosomal RNA
Rfam family: Bacterial small subunit ribosomal RNA
Source: RNAcentral